This 253-nucleotide ribosomal RNA is filed under the name uncultured bacterium. RNAcentral describes it as "partial 16S ribosomal RNA". It matches the Rfam family "Bacterial small subunit ribosomal RNA", at positions 524 to 776 of the family's 1533-position model. The record is from RNAcentral.
UACGAAGGGGGCAAGCGUUGUUCGGAAUUACUGGGCGUAAAGGGCGCGUAGGCGGCUUAUCAAGUCAGGCGUGAAAUUCCCGGGCUCAACCUGGGGGCUGCGCUUGAUACUGAUGAGCUUGAAUGCGGGAGAGGAUAGUGGAAUUCCCAGUGUAGAGGUGAAAUUCGUAGAUAUUGGGAAGAACACCGGUGGCGAGGGCGGCGCUCUGGACCGAGACUGACGCUGAGGCGCGAAAGCGUGGGGAGCAAACAGG